GACGAACGCUGGCGGCGUGCCUAAUACAUGCAAGUAGGACGCUGAAGGAGGAGCUUGCUUCUCUGGAUGAGUUGCGAACGGGUGAGUAACGCGUAGGUAACCUGCCUGGUAGCGGGGGAUAACUAUUGGAAACGAUAGCUAAUACCGCAUAAUAGUAGAUGUUGCAUGACAUUUGCUUAAAAGGUGCAAUUGCAUCACUACCAGAUGGACCUGCGUUGUAUUAGCUAGUUGGUGGGGUAACGGCUCACCUAGGCGACGAUACAUAGCCGACCUGAGAGGGUGAUCGGCCACACUGGGACUGAGACACGGCCCAGACUCCUACGGGAGGCAGCAGUAGGGAAUCUUCGGCAAUGGACGGAAGUCUGACCGAGCAACGCCGCGUGAGGGAAGAAGGGUUUCGGAUCGUAAAGCUCUGUUGUAAGAGAAGAAAGAGUGUGAGAGUGGAAAGUUCACACUGUGACGGUAUCUUACCAGAAAGGGACGGCUAACUACGUG
This 495-nucleotide ribosomal RNA is filed under the name uncultured bacterium. Its description in RNAcentral is "partial 16S ribosomal RNA". It matches the Rfam family "Bacterial small subunit ribosomal RNA", at positions 28 to 507 of the family's 1533-position model. The record is from RNAcentral.